ACAACAAGCUGCUGAAGACCUACAUCAAGAACUGGCCGGAAGAAGAAUCCGCCAAAUAACAAGCGCUAGAGCGCGAGCGGCUUCACGGUACCGCCCAAGGCCUGCGGGUGGUCGCGCCAGGUUGCGGGGUCGGUGUCCACGUACAGCUCCACCGUGAUGCCGUCAGGAUCGCUUACGUAGAGCGACAGCGUCGUCACGUGCUCGGUGGUGCCCACCACCGGCACGCCGGCUUCGUCGAUGCGCGCCUUGGCUUCGCGCAACGUCUCGACAUCGUCGCCGACCUUGAACGCCACGUGCAUUACGCCGGC
Molecule: unclassified non-coding RNA, 308 nt
Filed under: uncultured bacterium
Lineage: Bacteria
Description: contains 16S-23S intergenic spacer region
Source: RNAcentral